Molecule: ribosomal RNA, 496 nt
Filed under: uncultured bacterium
Lineage: Bacteria
Description: partial 16S ribosomal RNA
Rfam family: Bacterial small subunit ribosomal RNA
Source: RNAcentral
GAUGAACGCUGGCGGCGUGCCUAAUACAUGCAAGUCGAGCGAACAGACGAGGAGCUUGCUCCUCUGACGUUAGCGGCGGACGGGUGAGUAACACGUGGAUAACCUACCUAUAAGACUGGGAUAACUUCGGGAAACCGGAGCUAAUACCGGAUAAUAUAUUGAACCGCAUGGUUCAAUAGUGAAAGACGGUUUUGCUGUCACUUAUAGAUGGAUCCGCGCCGCAUUAGCUAGUUGGUAAGGUAACGGCUUACCAAGGCAACGAGGCGUAGCCGACCUGAGAGGGUGUUGGGCCCACCUGAAACUGAGACCCGGCCCGGACUCCUAGGGGAGGCAGCAGUGGGGAAUGUUCCGAAAUGGGGGAAAGCUUGAAGGAGCAACGCCGGGUGGGUGAAGAAGUGCUUCGGAUGGGAAAACGUUUUUAUUGGGGAAAAACAAAUGUGUAAGUAACUAAGCACGUCUUGACGGUACCUAAUAAGAAACCCACGCCUAACUAGGG